CAGUCGCCGCGGGAACACGAAGGGGGCUAGCGUUGCUCGGAAUGACUGGGCGUAAAGGGCGCGUAGGCGGCGAUCAAAGUCAGGCGUGAAAUUCCUGGGCUCAACCUGGGGGCUGCGCUUGAUACUUGGUUGCUUGAGUGGGGAAGAGGGUCGUGGAAUUCCCAGUGUAGAGGUGAAAUUCGUAGAUAUUGGGAAGAACACCGGUGGCGAAGGCGGCGACCUGGUCCUUGACUGACGCUGAGGCGCGAAAGCGUGGGGAGCAAACAGGAUUAGAUACCCCAGUAGUCCCUGUCUCUUAUAU
This 301-nucleotide ribosomal RNA is filed under the name uncultured bacterium. RNAcentral describes it as "partial 16S ribosomal RNA". It matches the Rfam family "Bacterial small subunit ribosomal RNA", at positions 509 to 809 of the family's 1533-position model. The record is from RNAcentral.